CGCCAUCACACACACACAUACACGUUUCUGUGUCAGUACUACGGCAAGCGCCCUUCUUCGCCCCGCCACUCAUCGGUGAAGCAUGUCUAUCUCUUCUUCCAGCGGCAACAACCACGGCGGCAACGCGCCGCCGCCGCCGCUAACGCCGGAGGAGAAGGCCGCCCGUGACGCGCGGCUGCAGCGCGAGCAUGAAUCGUACAUCCGCAGUAUCGCGACGAUGCGCUCGCUGCCGCGGCUUCGGUCCACCAUCGCCGGCGCCGGCGGUAAGACGAACACCAACACGCGUAUUGCAGAGGAGCGUGAGGAGGUACGCCAGCAGCACCUCCGCGCCGCGGCCGCCGCAGCAGCGGAGCUGCAGCAACGUCGUCAGGUGCAUCAUGAGAAAGUCACGAAACUAGAAAGCAUACAGGCGAAGAAGCGCAGCCGCCGCGCCGCCAAAAAGGCGAAGAAGAAGCAGCGACUCGAGGAGAAGUUGCGCAGCAGGCUGGACUCGGACUCAGACGCGAGCUCGGACGGCUCUGCUUUAUCAUCGUCAGCGUCCGCAUCGUCGUCACGUGACUCAGACGGCGAUGGCGAGGAUGCGUAAACGUGCGGCACAUUGUUUCCUACACACACACACACACAUGCACACUACGGAGAAACGGGUCGAGUGCGCGCGUUUAUGGCGGUGCAUGUGCAACCCUCCUCCCCCUCCCCUCCCGUCUCCCUGGCGCUGAGAAGUAGAGAUGCCGAGGAGAGGAAAGGAGUGACCGCGCAUCGCCGCACGCGUCUCGUGCACAGGUACCGCUUAAAGGAGCCAUGCAACCCUCGAAAACGGUUCCCAUGUCGUAGCAUUGAUCUCUCCCGUGCGUGUGCACGUGUGUGUGUGUGUGUGUGUGUGUGGUGUGUGUGUGUGUGUGUGUGUGUGCACGUGUGUGUGUGUGUGUGUGUGUGUGCACGUGUGUGUGUGUGUGUGCACGUGUGUGGUGUGUGGUGUGUGUGUGUGUGUGUGCACGUGUGUGUGUGUGUGUGUGCACGUGUGUGUGUGUGUGUGUGUGCACGUGUGUGUGUGUGUGUGUGUGUGCACGUGUGUGUGUGUGGUGUGUGUGUGUGUGUGUGUGUGUGGUGUGUGUGCACGUGUGUGUGUGUGUGUGUGUGCACGUGUGUGUGUGUGCACGUGUGUGUGUGGUGUGUGUGUGUGUGUGUGCACGUGUGUGUGUGUGUGUGUGUGUGUGCACGUGUGUGUGUGUGCACGUGUGUGUGUGGUGUGUGUGUGUGUGCACGUGUGUGUGUGUGCACGUGUGUGUGUGUGUGUGUGUGUGCACGUGUGUGUGUGUGUGUGUGUGUGUGUGCACGUGUGUGUGUGUGUGUGUGUGUGUGCACGUGUGUGUGGUGUGUGUGUGUGCACGUGUGUGUGUGUGUGUGUGUGUGUGUGUGCACGUGUGUGUGUGUGUGUGUGUGUGUGCACGUGUGUGUGUGUGCACGUGUGUGUGUGUGUGUGUGUGUGUGUCUGCUUUGCAUCAACAGUUGACAAGACUCGAAGAUACACACAGACAAUCACGCGCGCGCACAUCGAUGAGCGCCUCUCUCCAAGGCCCUGCGGCAGUGCCGCCCGUUGAGCGCGGGCUGGCAGACACUCACGCGCGUGUUGUUAUGCUUCACGGUGUGACCGCACACCUUUCUCUCUUGCUCUCCGCAACCACAUC
Molecule: unclassified non-coding RNA, 1685 nt
Filed under: Leishmania donovani
Lineage: Eukaryota; Euglenozoa; Kinetoplastea; Trypanosomatida; Trypanosomatidae
Description: gene:LdHU3.04.0800(CDS-product:hypothetical_prote in_conserved)
Source: RNAcentral